Non-coding RNA from Phascolarctos cinereus (koala), 588 nucleotides. The record is from RefSeq and is a predicted model, not a curated record. Lineage: Eukaryota; Metazoa; Chordata; Mammalia; Diprotodontia; Phascolarctidae.
AAGACACAGGAUCCAAAAGUAAGCACAGCAACUCAAACUAUUUAAAAGGCAAGGAACUAAACCUUCACUAUUGAAAAGCCAAGGACCUGCCUAAGGGUAGAUCCAGCAAUUCACACGAUUUAAAAAGCAAGGACCUAAACUCUCCCACUAUUUAAAAGCCAAGAACCUUGAUCUCGGGUUAGAUACAGCAAUUAACACUAUUUAAAAGACAGACCUGAAGCCUUACAAACACCAUUUAAAAGACACCGACCACAAUCCCAGGAUACACCCACAGUCUCCAGAACAUACAAAUUUUGAUAAGCAUGGCCCCAAAGAAGAAAUGUGAGAAGAUACCUCCCCCCGAUCCUGUGCAGAGAUCAUCUACAUUUCCCAAAAUAUCUCUGCCCUGUCCCUUCCAGAAAGAAUCUGUUACAACAAAGAAGAAAAGGAAGUCAAAAAGAGUUUAGCAAGACUAAAUACUACCAGCAUACUAGAAAAUGGUCUGAUAAUACAGCAUUUCACAAUUAGUCUUCUUCCUCUGGGGGGGAAAAAUACCUGGAUACGGUGCCUUGUCCUAUCACUUUUUUGGGGCCAAGUUUGGUCAUUAAA